This 425-nucleotide ribosomal RNA is filed under the name Rhizopus arrhizus. Its description in RNAcentral is "eukaryotic LSU rRNA". It matches the Rfam family "Eukaryotic large subunit ribosomal RNA", at positions 236 to 614 of the family's 3401-position model. The record is from RNAcentral. Lineage: Eukaryota; Fungi; Mucoromycota; Mucoromycetes; Mucorales; Rhizopodaceae.
UUUGCCUUUUGUGAUACGCUUUCAAAGAGUCAGGUUGUUUGGGAAUGCAGCCUAAAUUGGGUGGUAAAUCUCACCUAAAGCUAAAUAUUGGCGAGAAACCGAUAGCGAACAAGUACCGUGAGGGAAAGAUGAAAAGAACUUUGAAAAGAGAGUUAAACAGUAUGUGAAAUUGUUAAAAGGGAACCGUUUGGAGCCAGACUGGCUUGUCUGUAAUCAAUCUAGGCUUCGGCCUGGAUGCACUUGCAGGCUAUGCCUGCCAACGACAAUUUGACUUGAGGGAAAAAACUAAGGGAAAUGUGGCCCACUUGUGGGUGUUAUAGUCCCUUAGAAAAUACCUUGGGUUGGAUUGAGGAACGCAGCGAAUGCUUUUUGGCGAGUUUUCCAGGAAGGUUUUCUGAGGUACUACGGUAUCAAGGUUGAUCUUU